CGCCUAUUACAUGCAAGUCGAACGAGAAGGUGUAGCAAUACACUUGUACAGUGGCGAACGGGUGAGGAAUGCAUGGGUAACCUACCCUCGAGUGGGGAAUAACCAGCCGAAAGGUUGGCUAAUACCGCGUACGCUUCCGGGUCUCCGGAUCCGGAAGGAAAGUCACACCGUGGGUGUGACGCUCAAGGAUGGGCUCAUGUCCUAUCAGCUUGUUGGUGAGGUAACGGCUCACCAAGGCAACGACGGGUAGCUGGUCUGAGAGGACGAUCAUCCACACUGGCACUGCGACACGGGCCAGACUCCUACGGGAGGCAGCAGUAAGGAAUAUUGCGCAAUGGGCGAAAGCCUUCGCAGCGACGCCGCGUGGGGGAUGAAGGUNNNNGGCCUACCCC
This 392-nucleotide ribosomal RNA is filed under the name uncultured organism. RNAcentral describes it as "bacterial SSU rRNA". It matches the Rfam family "Bacterial small subunit ribosomal RNA", at positions 45 to 433 of the family's 1533-position model. The record is from RNAcentral.